Molecule: ribosomal RNA, 497 nt
Filed under: uncultured bacterium
Lineage: Bacteria
Description: partial 16S ribosomal RNA
Rfam family: Bacterial small subunit ribosomal RNA
Source: RNAcentral
GACGAACGCUGGCGGCGUGCCUAAUACAUGCAAGUUGAGCGCUGAAGGUUGGUACUUGUACCAACUGGAUGAGCAGCGAACGGGUGAGUAACGCGUGGGGAAUCUGCCUUUGAGCGGGGGACAACAUUUGGAAACGAAUGCUAAUACCGCAUAAAAACUUUAAACACAAGUUUUAAGUUUGAAAGAUGCAAUUGCAUCACUCAAAGAUGAUCCCGCGUUGUAUUAGCUAGUUGGUGAGGUAAAGGCUCACCAAGGCGAUGAUACAUAGCCGACCUGAGAGGGUGAUCGGCCACAUUGGGACUGAGACACGGCCCAAACUCCUACGGGAGGCAGCAGUAGGGAAUCUUCGGCAAUGGAGGAAAGUCUGACCGAGCAACGCCGCGUGAGUGAAGAAGGUUUUCGGAUCGUAAAACUCUGUUGGUAGGGAAGAACGUUGGUGAGAGUGGAAAGCUCAUCAAGUGACGGUAACUACCCAGAAAGGGACGGCUAACUACGUG